UUCCUCCUCUUUAGCAGAGGCGGUCCCAACAGUGUCCCCACCAUCCCGGAGGACAUGCUGGCAACUGUUGGCGUGGGUCUCGCUCGUUGCCUGACUUAACAGGAUGCUUCACAGUACGAACUGACGACGGCCAUGCACCUCCUCUCAGCUAGUCAAGCAGAGUCUUCAACCCGGCUAUCAUUCAGCUGUCUUAUCCGGUGAGCUUCCCGGCGUUGAGUCCGAUUAAACCGCAGGCUCCACCUGUUGUGGUGCUCCCCCGCCAAUUCCUUUAAGUUUCAGCCUUGCGACCGUACUUCCCAGGCGGCACGUUUCACGGUUUCCCUUCGGCACCUCGGUGACUCGUGGUCACCGAUACACCUAACGCGCAUCGUUUACAGCUGGGACUACCCGGGUAUCUAAUCCGGUUUGCUCCCCCAGCUUUCGUCCCUCACUGUCGGAGCCGUUCUAGUGAGACGCCUUCGCCACAGGUGGUCCCCCAAGGAUUACAGGAUUUCACUCCUACCCCUGGAGUACCUCUCACCUCUCCCGGUCCCUAGGUUGCCAGUAUCUCCUGAACGCCCAUCGGUUGAGCCGAUGGAUUUCCCAGGAGACUUAACAACCAAGCUACGGACGCUUUAAGCCCAGUAAUAGUGGCCACCACUCGAGCCGCCGGUAUUACCGCGGCGGCUGGCACCGGUCUUGCCCGGCUCUUUCUUCACCAGUUUUUUGCACUGGCGGACAGCCCGAAUUUACGGGCACUCGGGGUUCCCUUAUCACGAUUUCUCGCAUUGUAAAGUUUUCGCGCCUGCUGCGCCCCGUAGGGCCUGGAUUCGUGUCUCAGAAUCCAUCUCCGGGCUCUUGCUCCCACAACCCGUACCGAUCAAAGGCUUGUUGGGCCGUUACCCCAACAACAACCUAAUCGGCCGCAGACCCAUCCUGUGGCGGCGGACCUUUGAGCUAGGGGGCAUUCCAGCCACCCUAACCUAUGGGGUAUUAUCCCCAGUUUUCCGGGGUUAUCCCCCUCCACAGGGUAGGUUGUCC
Molecule: ribosomal RNA, 1020 nt
Filed under: uncultured archaeon
Lineage: Archaea
Description: partial 16S ribosomal RNA
Source: RNAcentral